AUUGAACGCUGGCGGCAGGCCUAACACAUGCAAGUCGAGCGGAGCGGCGGACGGGUGAGUAAUGCCUAGGAAUCUGCCUGGUAGUGGGGGAUAACGUCCGGAAACGGGCGCUAAUACCGCAUACUAUCAGAUGAGCCUCGGUCGGAUUAGCUAGUUGGUGGGGUAAAGGCCUACCAAGGCGACGAUCCGUAACUGGUCUGAGAGGAGGAUCAGUCACCCUGGAACUGAGAAACGGUCCAGAAUCCUCCCAUAACCACCAUUAUAUAAUAUUAUGCAAUGAACGAAAGCCUGAUCCAGCCAGGCCGCGUGUGUGAAGAAAAUCUUCGGAUUUUAACGCACUUUAAGUUGGGAGGCGUUACCAACAGAAUAAGCACCGGCUAACUUCGGGCCAGCAGCCGCGGUAAUUC
Molecule: ribosomal RNA, 407 nt
Filed under: uncultured bacterium
Lineage: Bacteria
Description: partial 16S ribosomal RNA
Rfam family: Bacterial small subunit ribosomal RNA
Source: RNAcentral